CUACGGGUCGCUGCAGUGAGGAAUAUUGCACAAUGGAGGAAACUCUGAUGCAGCAACGCCGCGUGGAGGAUGACGCAUUUCGGUGUGUAAACUCCUUUUAUAUGUCAAGAAAAUGACGGUAGCAUAUGAAUAAGCUCCGGCUAACUCCGUGCCAGCAGCCGCGGUAAUACGGAGGGAGCAAGCGUUACUCGGAAUCACUGGGCGUAAAGGACGCGUAGGCGGGAUAGAAAGUCAGGUGUGAAAUCCUAUGGCUCAACCAUAGAACUGCACUUGAAACUUCUAACCUAGAGUAUGGGAGGGGAAGAUGGAAUUAGUGGUGUAGGGGUAAAAUCCGUAGAUAUCACUAGGAAUACCAAAAGCGAAGGCGAUCUUCUGGAACAAUACUGACGCUAAGGCGUGAAAGCGUGGGGAGCAAACAGGAUUAGAUACCCGCGUAGUC
RNAcentral lists this ribosomal RNA (439 nucleotides) under uncultured bacterium. Its description in RNAcentral is "partial 16S ribosomal RNA". It matches the Rfam family "Bacterial small subunit ribosomal RNA", at positions 339 to 795 of the family's 1533-position model. The record is from RNAcentral.